This 1083-nucleotide unclassified non-coding RNA is filed under the name Hevea brasiliensis (rubber tree). The record is from RNAcentral. Lineage: Eukaryota; Viridiplantae; Streptophyta; Magnoliopsida; Malpighiales; Euphorbiaceae.
AGGAGAAAAAACACAUAUACUCAAAUUUUAACUGAUUAUCACAUGGCUGAUUUGCCCACAUUUUCAUCACAAAUAGAUUUGACAAAAUCCUUUAUAGAAUCAUACAAAUCUUGUGCACGUUUUUUAUCAAAUAUCUCCACAGCAUGAUAUCCUGUUUCCAGAAAUUGAGGAGUCACGUGCACCCCACGUGACUCAAUCAUUUUAGCAAAUUUCUUUUGCUUAUCAAUAAGUGGAUCCCCUCCAUACCCCCUGAUCAAACACCUUGGCAACCGUUCGAUCUUCUUUUUCACUUCUACCUCAUUAAUCAAUGGAUUAGAAUACUCGUGAUCGCGAUCCACGCCUUCAGGCAAUGCAAGCGACCACAUUAGAUCAUUCGCAUGCAAAGGCAAAAUCUUGUCGUUGACAAAUUUGAGCUCCGACUUCGUUCUCUCGACCCCACCGAAGUAGGGCUGAUUCAUUAUCAGUCCUACAAUCUUGAUCGGGUCGAGAUUGAUAUUGAAUGCACGUAGACCUGCAUUGUACACGAUAUUUCCUCCGGAACUACUACCCAUUAAGAAAACUUUAGAGAAAUCAGCCAACUGUUUCAACCAUGGAUCUCCCCCGUUAAUAGCUUGAUCUUUCGCCCAUUUGAUAGCAUCCACGGCGUCCUCAUAGGCGGCAGGAAGACGGUGCUCCGGGGCGAGGCGAUACUCAACGGAAGCAAUCAACGCUGGGAUCUGAGCUGACAUGGCAUUACACGAUUCAUGAAAAAUAACAGAACUCACACUCAAUAGCACAAAUCCACCACCAUGGAAGUAUAUUAUGAGCGGCAAUUUAGUGUUAAUCGGCGGAGAAACAGGCCGAUAAAGGCGUAUGAAGGUAUUGGAGGCCGGAUUAAGAGGUAUGUCUUUUGAAAGUGAAAUUAACUGAUUUGACGAAUUGGGGUCAAUUUCUGGGGUUGAAGGGACAUUAGGAACUGGGGUGUUUCUGGUGAGAGAUCCAUCUGGAUUUGGGGUAAUUUUGAGGAACUUGUAGGCAUCUUCCAUGGUGGAUUCUGCUAUAAUCUUUUGCUCUGCCAUGGUAGUAUAGUAUAACAGAUUAAAU